CUGAGGAGCGAAAGCGUGGGGAGCGAACAGGAUUAGAUACCCUGGUAGUCCACGCCGUAAACGGUGGGCGCUAGUUGUGCGAACCUUCCACGGUUUGUGCGACGCAGCUAACGCAUUAAGCGCCCCGCCUGGGGAGUACGAUCGCAAGAUUAAAACUCAAAGGAAUUGACGGGGCCCCGCACAAGCAGCGGAGCAUGCGGCUUAAUUCGACGCAACGCGAAGAACCUUACCAAGGCUUGACAUAUACAGGAAUACGGCAGAGAUGUCGUAGCCGCAAGGUCUGUAUACAGGUGGUGCAUGGUUGUCGUCAGCUCGUGUCGUGAGAUGUUGGGUUAAGUCCCGCAACGAGCGCAACCCUCGUUCUGUGUUGCCAGCAUUUAGUUGGGGACUCACAGGAGACUGCCGGGGUUAACUCGGAGGAAGGUGGGGAUGACGUCAAAUCAUCAUGCCCCUUAUGUCUUGGGCUGCACGCAUGCUACAAUGGCUGGUACAAACGGCUGCAAUACCGCAAGGUGGAGCGAAUCCGAGAAAGCCAGUCUCAGUUCGGAUUGGGGUCUGCAACUCGACCCCAUGAAGUCGGAGUUGCUAGUAAUCGUAGAUCAGCAACGCUACGGUGAAUACGUUCCCGGGGCUUGUACACACCGCCCGUCACAUCACGA
This 659-nucleotide ribosomal RNA is filed under the name uncultured Actinomycetes bacterium. RNAcentral's name for it is "bacterial SSU rRNA". It matches the Rfam family "Bacterial small subunit ribosomal RNA", at positions 746 to 1407 of the family's 1533-position model. Lineage: Bacteria; Bacillati; Actinomycetota; Actinomycetes. The record is from RNAcentral.